This 565-nucleotide ribosomal RNA is filed under the name uncultured bacterium. RNAcentral's name for it is "bacterial SSU rRNA". It matches the Rfam family "Bacterial small subunit ribosomal RNA", at positions 338 to 916 of the family's 1533-position model. The record is from RNAcentral.
CCUACGGGAGGCAGCAGUGGGGAAUUUUGGACAAUGGACGAAAGUCUGAUCCAGCAACGCUGCGUGAAGGACGAAGGUUUUCGGAUUGUAAACUUCUUUUGCAGGGGAAGAAAAAAAUGACGGUACCCUGUGAAUAAGCCACGGCUAACUACGUGCCAGCAGCCGCGGUAAGACGUAGGUGGCGAGCGUUACUCGGAAUUACUAGGCGUAAAGCGUACGUAGGCGGAAGUUUAAGUCUGUUGUGUAAUCUCCAAGCUCAACUUGGAAACUGCAACAGAAACUGGGCUUCUUGAGUGAGGCAGAGGAAAACGGAAUUCCUGGUGUAGCAGUGAAAUGCGUAGAUAUCAGGAGGAACACCGGUGGCGAAGGCGGUUUUCUGGGCCUUUACUGACGCUAAAGUACGAAAGCUAGGGGAGCAAACGGGAUUAGAUACCCCGGUAGUCCUAGCCGUAAACGAUGAUAACUAGGUGUGGGAGGUAUCGACCCCUUCCGUGCCGACGCUAACGCAUUAAGUUAUCCGCCUGGGGAGUACGGCCGCAAGGUUAAAACUCAAAGGAAUUGACGG